CCUACGGGGGGCUGCAGUGAGGAAUAUUGGUCAAUGGGCGUAAGCCUGAACCAGCCAUCCCGCGUGAAGGAAGACGGCGCUAUGCGUUGUAAACUUCUUUUCCGGAGGAAUAAAAUUUCGUACGUGUACGGAACUGAAGGUACUCCGGGAAUAAGCAUCGGCUAACUCCGUGCCAGCAGCCGCGGUAAUACGGAGGAUGCGAGCGUUAUCGGGAUUUAUUGGGUUUAGGGGGUGCGUUAAGUGAUUAAUGAAAACCUUCAGCUUAACUGGAGACUUGCCAUUGAUACUGUUAGUCUUGAGUACGGUCAAGGUAGGCGGAAUGUGUAAUGUAGCGGUGAAAUGCUUAGAUAUUACACAGAACACCGAUUGCGAAGGCAGCUUACUGGGCCAUUACUGACGCUGAUGCACGAAAGCGUGGGGAGCGAACAGGAUUAGAUACCCUGGUAGUC
Molecule: ribosomal RNA, 449 nt
Filed under: uncultured bacterium
Lineage: Bacteria
Description: partial 16S ribosomal RNA
Rfam family: Bacterial small subunit ribosomal RNA
Source: RNAcentral